AACGAACGCUGGCGGCAUGCCUAACACAUGCAAGUCAAACGAACCCCCCGAUUUCGGUUGGGGGCUUAGGGGCGCACGGGUGCGUAACGCGGGGGGAUCUACCAUAGGGGGCGAAAUAACUCAAAAAAAUUUGAGCUAAUACCGCAUAAUGUCUUCGGACCAAAAAUUUAUCGCCCUUUGAUGAACCCGCGUAGGAUUAGCUUGUUGGUGAGGUAAAAGCUCACCAAGGCAACAAUCUUUAGCUGGUCUGAGAGGAUGAUCAGCCACACUGGGACUGAAACACGGCCCAAACUCCUACGGGAGGCAGCAGUGGGGAAUAUUGGACAAUGGGCGAAAGCCUGAUCCAGCAAUGCCGCGUGAGUGAUGAAGGCCUUAGGGUUGUAAAGCUCUUUUACCAGGGAUGAUAAUGACAGUACCUGGAGAAUAAGCUCCGGCUAACUCCGUG
This 445-nucleotide ribosomal RNA is filed under the name uncultured bacterium. Its description in RNAcentral is "partial 16S ribosomal RNA". It matches the Rfam family "Bacterial small subunit ribosomal RNA", at positions 29 to 507 of the family's 1533-position model. The record is from RNAcentral.